UACAGAGGGGGCAAGCGUUGUUCGGAAUUACUGGGCGUAAAGGGCGCGUAGGCGGCCACCUAAGUCAGGCGUGAAAUCCCUCGGCUCAACCGGGGAACUGCGUCUGAUACUGGGCGGCUUGAAUUCGGGAGAGGAAUGCGGAAUUCCAGGUGUAGCGGUGAAAUGCGUAGAUAUCUGGAGGAACACCGGUGGCGAAGGCGGCAUUCUGGACCGACAUUGACGCUGAGGCGCGAAAGCCAGGGGAGCAAACGGG
Molecule: ribosomal RNA, 253 nt
Filed under: uncultured bacterium
Lineage: Bacteria
Description: partial 16S ribosomal RNA
Rfam family: Bacterial small subunit ribosomal RNA
Source: RNAcentral